RNAcentral lists this ribosomal RNA (372 nucleotides) under uncultured bacterium. Its description in RNAcentral is "bacterial SSU rRNA". It matches the Rfam family "Bacterial small subunit ribosomal RNA", at positions 521 to 896 of the family's 1533-position model. The record is from RNAcentral.
UAAUACGUAGGUGGCAAGCGUUGUCCGGAUUUACUGGGCGUAAAGCGUGUGUAGGCGGGACUUUAAGUAGCAAGUGAAAGGUUGGUGCUCAACACCAACACUGCUCGCUAUACUGGAGACCUUGAGUGCCGGAGAGGAAGAUGGAACUGCACGUGUAGCGGUGAAAUGCGUUGAGAUGUGCAGGAACACCAAUGGCGAAGGCAAUCUUCUAGACGGAAACUGACGCUGAGACACGAAAGCCAAGGGAGCGAACAGGAUUAGAUACCCUGGUAGUCUUGGCCCUAAACUAUGUUCACUAGGUGUUGGGGGUUUCCCUCAGUGCCGCAGCUAACGCAUUAAGUGAACCGCCUGGGGACUACGGCCGCAAGGUUG